CUGGCGGCGUGCCUAAUACAUGCAAGUCGAACGGUCUUUCUAUGGAAGCUUGCUCCACUGAGAAGAUAGUGGCGAACGGGUGAGUAACACGUGGGUAACCUGCCCAUAAGAGGGGGAUAACAUCCGGAAACGGGUGCUAAUACCGCAUAGUUUUCUUGAUCGCAUGAUCGGGAAAGGAAAGACGGCCUUUGUGCUGUCGCUUAUGGAUGGACCCGCGGCGUAUUAGUUAGUUGGUGAGGUAACGGCUCACCAAGACGAUGAUACGUAGCCGACCUGAGAGGGUGAUCGGCCACAUUGGGACUGAGACACGGCCCAAACUCCUACGGGAGGCAGCAGUAGGGAAUCUUCCGCAAUGGACGAAAGUCUGACGGAGCAACGCCGCGUGAGUGAAGAAAAGGUUUUCGGAUCGUAAAACUCUGUUGUCAGAGAAGAACAAGUUGGAGAGUAACUGCUCCAGCCUUGACGGUAUCUGACCAGAAAGCCACGGCUAACUACGUGCCAGCAGCCGC
This 509-nucleotide ribosomal RNA is filed under the name uncultured bacterium. RNAcentral's name for it is "bacterial SSU rRNA". It matches the Rfam family "Bacterial small subunit ribosomal RNA", at positions 36 to 518 of the family's 1533-position model. The record is from RNAcentral.